GAUGAACGCUGGCGGCGUGCUUAACACAUGCAAGUCGAACGAUGAAGCCCAGCUUGCUGGGUGGAUUAGUGGCGAACGGGUGAGUAACACGUGAGUAACCUGCCCUUAACUCUGGGAUAAGCCUGGGAAACUGGGUCCAAUACCGGAUAGGAGCGUCCACCGCAUGGUGGGUGUUGGAAAGAUUUAUCGGUUUUGGAUGGACUCGCGGCCUAUCAGCUUGUUGGUGAGGUAAUGGCUCACCAAGGCGACGACGGGUAGCCGGCCUGAGAGGGUGACCGGCCACACUGGGACUGAGACACGGCCCAGACUCCUACGGGAGGCAGCAGUGGGGAAUAUUGCACAAUGGGCGAAAGCCUGAUGCAGCGACGCCGCGUGAGGGAUGACGGCCUUCGGGUUGUAAACCUCUUUCAGUAGGGAAGAAGCGAAAGUGACGGUACCUGCAGAAGAAGCACCGGCUAACUACGUG
Molecule: ribosomal RNA, 466 nt
Filed under: uncultured bacterium
Lineage: Bacteria
Description: partial 16S ribosomal RNA
Rfam family: Bacterial small subunit ribosomal RNA
Source: RNAcentral